AGCGAACGCUGGCGGCAGGCCUAACACAUGCAAGUCGAACGAACCUUUCGGGGUUAGUGGCGGACGGGUGAGUAACACGUGGGAACGUGCCUUUAGGUUCGGAAUAACUCAGGGAAACUUGUGCUAAUACCGAAUGUGCCCUUCGGGGGAAAGAUUUAUCGCCUUUAGAGCGGCCCGCGUCUGAUUAGCUAGUUGGUUGAGGUAAUGGCUCACCAAGGCGACGAUCAGUAGCUGGUCUGAGAGGAUGAUCAGCAACAUUGGGACUGAGACACGGCCCAAACUCCUACGGGAGGCAGCAGUGGGGAAUCUUGCGAAAUGGGCGAAAGCCUGACGCAGCCAUGCCGCGUGAAUGAUGAAGGUCUUAGGAUUGUAAAAUUCUUUCACCGGGGACGAUAAUGACGGUACCCGGAGAAGAAGCCCCGGCUAACUUCGUG
This 434-nucleotide ribosomal RNA is filed under the name uncultured bacterium. RNAcentral's name for it is "partial 16S ribosomal RNA". It matches the Rfam family "Bacterial small subunit ribosomal RNA", at positions 29 to 507 of the family's 1533-position model. The record is from RNAcentral.